UCCUCACCGGCGAGGUUAAGUAUUUAAGAUACGGAGCCGAAGCGAAAGCGAGUCUGAAUAGGCGCUUAGUCGUGGGGGCAGACGCGAAACCUUGUGAUCUACCCAUGGCCAGGUUGAAGCUUAGGUAACACUAAGUGGAGGACCGACGGUAAACGUUGAAAAGUUUUCGGAUGAGCUGUGGGUAGGGGUGAAAGGCUAAUCAAACUGGGAAAUAGCUCGUACUCCCCGAAAUGUUUUUUGGAACAGCCUCGAGGUUGAGUAUCACGGAGGUAGAGCUACCGAUAGGACUAGGGGGCUUCACCGCCUACCAAAUCCUGACGAACUCCGAAUGCCGUGAUAUAUACUCGGGAGUGAGCCCAUGGGGUGCUAAGGUCCUUGGGCGAGAGGGAAAGAACCCGGACCAUCAGCUAAGGUCCCCAAAUCCGGACUAAGUUGUAUAAAACGAGGUGUGACUGCAGAGACAGCCGGGAUGUUUGCUUGGAAGCAGCCAUUCAUUCAAAGAGUGCGUAACAGCUCACCGGUCGAGCGGUCAUGCGUGGAUAAUAAUCGGGC
RNAcentral lists this ribosomal RNA (552 nucleotides) under uncultured bacterium. Its description in RNAcentral is "bacterial LSU rRNA". It matches the Rfam family "Bacterial large subunit ribosomal RNA", at positions 631 to 1180 of the family's 2925-position model. The record is from RNAcentral.